Mastomys coucha (southern multimammate mouse) is the source of this 881-nucleotide long non-coding RNA. RefSeq lists it as uncharacterized. Lineage: Eukaryota; Metazoa; Chordata; Mammalia; Rodentia; Muridae. The transcript has 5 exons. The record is from RefSeq and is a predicted model, not a curated record.
UAAAGGAAAGAGGGGAGGAAACCAGAACGCCCUUCCUUCCUAGGUGGGCUGUCAUUCCACAGGGGCCAACACAGCUGGAGCUCAGAAGACAAGCCCUUGUGGUCCACACAGCCAGCUCUCCAGGUAUGACUGAAUUGGUGGGCUCCAGAUUCAGUGAGAGAUCCUGUCUCAAAAACUAAGAAGGCCAAGGCAGGAGGAUCACAAGUUCGAUGCCUGCAUGGGCUACAGGGUUGCUCCAUUCCAGCAUCAUUGGUCCAGAGCCUGGGAAAGCAAGAGAAAAGAAGUGGAAAGGAAGAAGGAAGGAAAGGACAGAAGGAACCCAGCACAAGCAGAGACGUAUGGCUCCACAAAAGCGCCUCCAUUUGAUCUGAUCCCGACACAUGGUACACACCUGUCGGAUGGCAGGAAUGAUCUGAGCCUGGGAGAAAUCAAGGUUGCACCCUUUGAUGCCUUGGAGGCUGCAGGCGGCUGCUUGGCUGGAGAGGGAAGAUGGAGAUGCUGUCUUUCGUCUUUGCCUCCUCCCUGAUGGCUUGACGUCCUAUCCCCAGUCCUUGGGAACUCUUUCACAUAAACAAGCCCCAUGCUCCCGGGGUUUCCUGAGGCCACUGGCUGGAUGCUAAAGAGGGCACAGAGGUCUGAUGCCAUUAAUCACCCAGACGCAGCACUAGCAGAUUCUUAACCCAGCUGAGAGCUCCCUCCCACGUGCCUGCCCGGAGAGAAUGAAUCUGUCGAUUUUCUCUCUGUGAUUCAACCAGCAGCUAAUAUUAACAUGGCUUCAAUCAUUCAGACUCCCAGAAGUCAAGGUUCUGCUGGCUUUCCUACGAAUGAGCCACCAAAUUUAGCUAGAAAUAUCUUCUAUUUAAAUAAAGACUAUGCAACCA